Chinchilla lanigera (long-tailed chinchilla) is the source of this 639-nucleotide long non-coding RNA. RefSeq lists it as uncharacterized. The transcript has 2 exons. NCBI's taxonomy places the organism in Eukaryota, Metazoa, Chordata, Mammalia, Rodentia, Chinchillidae. The record is from RefSeq and is a predicted model, not a curated record.
GAGACCAGCAGGUGCCAUGGGCUGGCAGCAGCUGUAUAGCAGGCUCCCCAGUGGGCACCUCGUUCUCAGGACUUGUCACCACAGUUAAUACCAACAUGUGGGGCCUGUGAGGUCUGUGGCACGCACCUGUGUAGUCAUGAGCUGUGGCAGUGGGGACAGCUGGGGAUCUCCAGUUUAUGUUUUCCCUGUACGGAGAAGACUAUCUCAUCUCUGAGCCAGUCCAGGUGGGGAAGAAAGUGUGGCUCGCUCACCUCUCUGUGGUGCUAUCUUGGUUUAUUGUGCACGCAAUAGUCUUACCACUUCCCUGCUAUUUUCUGGCUUACCUCCUUAGCCACUCCACUCAGAAUUUAGUUAUUUACUUUUUGUUGUGAUUCCUUUCUGUGGAGAAGACUAGUGAUGGGCCACUUUUUUGGGCAAUCUUACUACCAUAAAAAAAAUUUUUUUAAAUGACAAGCUAUUAACCAAUAACACUGAUAUACAGUACCAACUUAGUUAUAUUUAAAUGUAUGUAUGAAUGUAUCUAUCCAUCUAUCUAUCUGCUUCUGUUUUGGACUCAUUCUUUUCCUUACAUAUCUGUUUGCCCCAUUGACAAUUACUGUCUUAAUUACUUUAGAUUUAUAAUAAAUCUUGAUACCUUCA